RNAcentral lists this transfer RNA (73 nucleotides) under Sus scrofa (pig). It matches the Rfam family "tRNA". From Rfam's summary of the family: Transfer RNA (tRNA) molecules are approximately 80 nucleotides in length. Lineage: Eukaryota; Metazoa; Chordata; Mammalia; Artiodactyla; Suidae. The record is from Rfam by way of RNAcentral.
UCUCUGGUGGCCUAGCAGUUAAGGGUCUGACAUUGUCAAUGCUGUGACACAGGUUCGAUUCCUGUCCCCAGGA